Caenorhabditis elegans is the source of this 166-nucleotide small nucleolar RNA. NCBI's taxonomy places the organism in Eukaryota, Metazoa, Nematoda, Chromadorea, Rhabditida, Rhabditidae. The record is from Ensembl.
UGAGUUUUGCAAAGAAGUCCUACAUGAAAAAUAAAAUAAUCUGCGUUCUUUGUGUCGUACUAGGUGCCGAGAGAGAGAGUUAGUGUCAAGAGGUGCUGGGGCGGGAAAAUGUUAUUUUGGUCAUUUUCCAUGUCUCCGGUGCUCUCUUCACUCACUCUCACAAAAU